AACAAUUAAGUGCAUUCAUAUUUCAAACAUCAAGACCAAGCAAUAAACACAAAAAUACUACCAAGUACCACACAUUUUCUCCCCCACACUUAAAUUACACAUUGUCCUCAAUGUGUAGGGAAAGAAAACAACAAUAGAUAGAAAGAAAUACUCCUCAGUGCAAUGGCUGAAAUCCAGAUUAAUCAUGAAUCACGAACCUUCGCCAAAACACAAAUAUCUACGAACACUGUCCAAAAGAUGAAAUGUAAACAGAAAAGGUCAAGUUAAACAUCCUACAAACAAAAGAUUAAAAACGACAAGUAAAUCCGGAAACAACAAUAAUAGCCAUCCUAGAGGUGCAACUUCAUUCAUCAUCUUCAUCUUUAUCGCCGUUAUGAGAUGGAGGAAUGCCUAGGUGAUACUCAAUCCUCUCCAAGCGAGUAUCCAUUUGACCCAACCGAUACUCGAUAUCGUCCAAGCGAGUUAAGAGCUACUGCCAAUUCGAUUGUGGUGGUAUAGGAGAAGGUCCAGUAGUAGAAGGUCCAGCUUCCUCUUGGCCAUGUAGUGCCUUUUGUCGCCUUUCUCGAGUAGGUUGAGGAAUAUUCUCCGUACCAAUACCAAGAUGACGAAAGGAAGAAACCGAUAACUCGGUUCUAGGUUUAACAAAUUCUCGAGUUACACCCUACAAGUUAACAUCGAAAUACUCGAACAACAAAGAGAGCAAAUGAGGAAAAUGCACAAUUUGAAUGAAGUAGUCCGUCGCUUUGCCAUAGACCUUAUGUAGAUAAUAAUAAUAUUCCGCAAUGAAAUUCGAGCGUAGGAUGACUCCCGAUUAUGAAACAUAUAAUCAAGAAAAUAGAUGUCACUUUUUCAGACCUUUUUAUGACCCGUCUUUUUGGGUAUGAUAUUGUGUGCGAUCAUACAGAUAAUGAGAUGAUGGCGAGGUUCAAAGACACUUACCACCAUUGUUUCCUCCCCUGAAGACCUAAAACGUUGGUACUCAAGACCAAAUCUACUCAUGGCAUGCGAUGGAUCCCACCGCCUAUUUGGUGCGACGAAACUCUUCUUCUGGUCGACCACCCGACCUUGGUUGUUGCAACGUAAAAUGGCAGCUAAGUGCUCCUGCGAUAAAACAAUACACCUCCCACGCACCCAUAACUCCAUCUCACCACUGUGACGUACUUUGUUAUCAAUGUUGGCGUAGAACUCGCGCACCAAGUGAGGGUAGUAGUGAAUCGACAAUGUGAGAAUCGCCGCCCAACUAAGUUGGUUAAACGCUUCCAAGAUACGAUAAACCACUUCAAUUUGAGACUUGCAUGCAUCUUGAAGAUAAACUCUAAUUAGCUUCCGCCUUGUGCCACUCUUGAUUCCUAAGGCUGCUAAACUUGGCACUAUCAAAGACGGCAGAUUCGGCACUACGAGAAGUGUCCUCCCCUUGUCGUCUCUGCACCGGUUGAGAUGAGUGUGACCUCUCUUCUUCACUUUCUUCAAUAUACUCACUCACCUCCAUUUCAUCACUAUUAUAGGAUGAAUAAACAAUUACUUUUCUCUUGCCAUAAUAUCUAAGAAAAAAGAUUCAAAAGUCCACAUAUACAAAGUCAUAUUUCAUAACUUUGAUAAUAAAUAACCACAAUUGGCUCAAAAAGCUACAAAUACAUCUCUCCAUAUCAUAAGAAAUCAAAUAAAUAUACUUUAACGACCACUAUUAUGACAUACGAGAAGUGUCAUAAAACAUGUCAAAAUUUGCCCAAGAUCACUAAUUUAUCAAAAUAGGCAACAAAUAUAUUCCAAUCACUGAAAUUAGCACUAAUCAUGAUUAUAGCAGUCAUUAAUUAUCAACAAUAAUGUACAUUUAGCUAUAAACAUGGUUACGUAAAAAUUAUCUUAAUAACUCACAAAAUUCAUCAAAAUAACUCACUAUAUACAAUGUACACGUUUAAAUAUCAUCAACUAACCAUUUUGAACCAUAAUCAUCUAUUACAAUUGGUCCAAACACCGGUUGAAACUAUUUUUCUCAUUAUUUCCAAAUUUAGCAAUAUUAAAAUUUGAAUAGCCAUUGAAUAAUUAGAACAUGUAAUCAUGCUCAAACAACCUAAAUAAGCAAAUUGAAAACCACAAACAUCGAUAAAUACCAUCAAAAAUUCAAAAUUAAAAGAUGUCAGAAAACUCAGAAAAUUGAAAAAUACCAUUUUCUAAAAAACAAAGAUUUGAUGGAGAAACUCACCUCAAUUGCGAAGAAUGAUGUUCGGAGAUGACGAUUAUGCAAAAACUCUAUGAAAAUCACU
This 2264-nucleotide long non-coding RNA is filed under the name Coffea arabica (coffee). RNAcentral's name for it is "long non-coding RNA (CARA_LNC002256)". The record is from RNAcentral. Lineage: Eukaryota; Viridiplantae; Streptophyta; Magnoliopsida; Gentianales; Rubiaceae.